This is a long non-coding RNA of Falco peregrinus (peregrine falcon), 531 nucleotides long. RefSeq lists it as uncharacterized. NCBI's taxonomy places the organism in Eukaryota, Metazoa, Chordata, Aves, Falconiformes, Falconidae. The transcript has 2 exons. The record is from RefSeq and is a predicted model, not a curated record.
AAAUCAGCAUUUUUCAAGGGACGGGCAACAGAGGAUGGAAGUUGCCCUCUGUGCUCAGCCCAGCAAAGCCCUGUGAAUGCUUACAGAGCAAACAGACCUGGAUGAAUGAUUUCCUGAGGCUGUAUGAUCAAGUUGGACAAGACGUGGCCCGUCAACAAGAGAGCCUGCCCAAAGGACAAGGGUCAGACCUGGCAGCAGCUGUAGGGACUUGGCAGACGUGAGGCAGGAGCUAACAGAGACACAAACUUGAAAAUACCACCCUGGAUCUGAAAAGGAAGCUCUUAAAAAUGUCAGAGACAGAGAAUGCUUUGCAGCUACCCGGUGACACCAGUCAUCUCAACUAACGAAUUACUUCUAUGAAGAAAGAAAUUACUUCUGUAAAGUAAAACAAAAUUUGCCAAACCAGAUUAAAACACGGAGUGUCUAACUGCCAUGGAAACUUCUCUGCAAGCUUAUCUGUAACUAGACAAGAUAAAUGCAUACCUGCUUUAUACAGGAGAAGGGGACAGAAAAAUACAAUGUAACACUCUA